AUUUAAAUAGCUUAUAAAUAAGAGUGUAAUAUUGAAGAUAUUAAGGAAACAUAAAUGUUUUUAAAUA
RNAcentral lists this transfer RNA (67 nucleotides) under Phyllocnistis citrella. Its description in RNAcentral is "tRNA-Phe". The record is from RNAcentral. Lineage: Eukaryota; Metazoa; Arthropoda; Insecta; Lepidoptera; Gracillariidae.